Helianthus annuus (common sunflower) is the source of this 1960-nucleotide long non-coding RNA. RefSeq lists it as uncharacterized. The transcript is spliced from 7 exons. NCBI's taxonomy places the organism in Eukaryota, Viridiplantae, Streptophyta, Magnoliopsida, Asterales, Asteraceae. The record is from RefSeq and is a predicted model, not a curated record.
AAUCAAUUGGGGAUCGAAUGAAUUGAGUUUUCCUCUUCUCUUGUGUUCUUCUUCUCUAUCUUUCGAUCAUCUACUGUUAUUACGAAACUGUUCGUAACACCCCACUAUCCUAUUUCUCCUCCUAAAUCCUUGCUACUACAACCGCACCUCCUGUAGGUUAUUUUAUACAUCGGCCCCAAACCUUCCAUUCUCAUUCUCAUAUUUACAUUCUUCAACUAUUCCCCCAAACCCUAAAGCUAUUCAAAAUACAUCCAACUUUACAAGCCACUGGAGUAGUUCGAUUUCAUCAACAAUCCAUGGGAGCCGUUACCAACAACUGAUUGGUAAACCCUUACCUAUUUUCUCAUCUUCUCCAUUCAAUCUCCACGAAUCGCCAGUCACUGCUUGCAGAAUUGACCGUGUCACUUCGCCAGUUUCCGCAGAUGAAUAUGUGCCAUCUGUAACGGAAUGGAUGUGGUGUAUGGAGGGACCUCUCCGAUGUUGGGGGUAUUUUCGAGUUUUACUUCUCUUUUGGCCCGUCCUUUCUUGCCGUGGUCGCCCUACUUGUUAGCAUUUAUGAUGGAAGAGAUACACAAUGAUGGAACAAAUUACAUGAAAAAGUGAAGGAUCAAGAUGACAUUGUUGAAGCCGAGAUACACCAAGUCAAGAAAUUGAAGGAUCUACAUGACAGUGUUGAAGCCAAGGUUCAUUGGGACAUGAAAGAGAAGGUUAAAGUGUUAAUCAUAAUAGCAUAGUUAUUAGUAUUCUCUAGAUGAACUGGUGUGUGUAAAAGUUUAGAGGUGGAUUUGGAGGCCUGCUAUGUGACAUUAUAUUGCAUUUGUAGCAGGAAAAUUUUUGUUGGCAAUUCUGAUGGUUUCUUUGUCUAAAAGUUAAUGUCUGAUCUGUCUUUUUUGUUAAUAGCAAACAUGUGGAGCAAAGGAUCGGAAGAGCUAUCAGAAAAGAAAAAGGGAAUACCAUUAAAGUUGAUGGGUAACAAAAGGACAUCGACAUAAGAUUUAAUAUUGUUUUUUCAGAUCUUGACCUCAUUGGACUCAUUUUUCAAAACAAUGCCAUUGACGGAAGAUGUAAUCAAGAGAUUGCGCCCAAAGGUCAUGGGUUGAAGACAACUGAUCUUACCAUGUCCCACACAUCAAUAGUAAUUGGAUUAUCCGCUACUGAAUCGACAACAUGUGUACUUGCAGCCUGCAUGUGCGCCAAUUUACAAUGCAAAACUCUUACUAAACGGGAUCAUUUUCAGAAACCGGAUUGUGCGAGGAUGAAAUGAGCUCAAAUUCACAAAAGAAGCAAAAAGACAGCUAAUUCUAACAUAAAUACAAGAAAAGAAACAAAAGUGGAUUGCCCGCACCCUCAACGGCAUGCUCCCAAGCAGAGAAGAGAAAACAGAAGACUGAACACGCCCCGUGCUCAGCCAGCACGGGGCCGUGCCCUAGAAGCAGCAGAAAAGACAAACCUAUAGAAGCUUCUAUUGCCCACCACGGGGCCGUGUCCAGUGAGCACGGGGGCGUGGCGAAAGUACAGCAGGCGCAUUAAUUGUAAUUGCGAAUUACAAUUAAUGAAGAGAUAGAGUGUCAGACGGGCACGGGGGUGUGUCCAGCGGACACGGGGCCGUGCCCAGCCUUCUGUUCAGCCUAUAAAUAGGAGUGCGUGGUUUCAUUUCAACUCAUCCCUUGGCACACCACCUCUCUCACACUUCAUCCACCACCCACCACCACCAUAACACCAUCAUCCACCACCAUCAUCCAUUGUCCACCGUAGAGUGUGUGAGUCGUCUCGGGAUCCAAGAUUGAUCGUAAGAGUUCUUGACAAUCAAAGGCCAUGUUUGCCUAAGUCUCUUACAUCACUUGGUGAAGACAAGUGUUUAGUAUAAUACUUUUUAUUUUUAAUCUUUUGCACUUUUUGUUUGGUUUUGUAUUAAUGACUUUAAUAACUAGUUGCUUAUGUUGAAGGUGAUCUUUCCUUA